Molecule: long non-coding RNA, 448 nt
Filed under: Brassica napus (rape)
Lineage: Eukaryota; Viridiplantae; Streptophyta; Magnoliopsida; Brassicales; Brassicaceae
Description: long non-coding RNA (BNAP_LNC025439)
Source: RNAcentral
AACUUUCAGAUAUGUUUUAAAAGUUAGCAUUAUAUUCCAAAUUAAAUUGACCUUUUUUGUUAAAAUUAAUUUGACCUCUUUUUUAAGGUAAUUAAUUUGACCUCUUCUGUUGAAGCAUUUGGGAUCAUAUACAGUUUCAGAUAGAUUGUUUAUUUAUUCAUUCUACAAUUAUUUGUGUAUUUACAUUUUGUUUAUAUACACGUUAUGUGUUGAACGGUUUGGUUUUUUCUUGUUAAACAAGCUGUGUUUCUUCUAAUUUCUACGUUCUCUAGAUUUUCUUAUAUUGAUUAUAGCUGCGAUGAUAAUUUUGGUACAUAUCAAUAUAUGCUUACCUAGUGACAUCGCUAAUUGAUGUUAAUCAAGAAGAACGACAAAUAUUAAGCCCUUUCAUAAAAAAAAUUAAGAACAACAAAUAUUAUUAACUAGCUAUCACUAUAUUAAAUCUAAC